UAAGGGUUCCUGGGUCAAGCUGAUCUGCCCAGGGUAAGUCGGGACCUAAGGCGAGGCCGACAGGSGUAGUCGAUGGACAACCGGUUGAUAUUCCGGUACCCGCUUUGAAACGCCCAAUAUCGAAUCCAUUAAUGCUAAGGCCGUGAAGCCGCCCCGAUCUCUUCGGAUUUGAGGGGAUUGGUGAACCCGCUGACCCAAGGUGGUAGUAGGUAAGCGAUGGGGUGACGCAGGAAGGUAGUCCAGCCCGGGCGGUGGUAGUCCCGGGGUAAGGGUGUAGGGCGUUGUCCAGGUAAAUCCGGGCAGCAUGAAGCCUGAGACCUGAUGCCGAGCCGAUUGUGGUGAAGUGGAUGAUCCUAUGCUGUCGAGAAAAGCCUCUAGCGAGUUUCAUGGCGGCCCGUACCCUAAACCGACUCAGGUGGUCAGGUAGAGAAUACCGAGGCGUUCGGGUGAACUAUGGUUAAGGAACUCGGCAAAAUGCCCCCGUAACUUCGGGAGAAGGGGGGCCAUUUCUGGUGAUCGGAUUUACUCUGUGAGCUGGGGGUGGCCGCAGAGACCAGCGAGAAGCGACUGUUUACUAAAAACACAGGUCCUUGCGAAGCCGUAAGGCGAUGUAUACGGACUGACGCCUGCCCGGUGCUGGAACGUUAAGGGGACCGGUUAGC
This 662-nucleotide ribosomal RNA is filed under the name Streptomyces abikoensis. Its description in RNAcentral is "bacterial LSU rRNA". It matches the Rfam family "Bacterial large subunit ribosomal RNA", at positions 1347 to 1894 of the family's 2925-position model. The record is from RNAcentral. Lineage: Bacteria; Bacillati; Actinomycetota; Actinomycetes; Kitasatosporales; Streptomycetaceae.